GAUGAACGCUGGCGGCGUGCCUAAUACAUGCAAGUCGAGCGAACAGACGAGGAGCUUGCUCCUCUGACGUUAGCGGCGGACGGGUGAGUAACACGUGGAUAACCUACCUAUAAGACUGGGAUAACUUCGGGAAACCGGAGCUAAUACCGGAUAAUAUAUUGAACCGCAUGGUUCAAUAGUGAAAGACGGUUUUGCUGUCACUUAUAGAUGGAUCCGCGCCGCAUUAGCUAGUUGGUAAGGUAACGGCUUACCAAGGCAACGAUGCGUAGCCGACCUGAGAGGGUGAUCGGCCACACUGGAACUGAGACACGGUCCAGACUCCUACGGGAGGCAGCAGUAGGGAAUCUUCCGCAAUGGGCGAAAGCUUGACGGAGCAACGCCGCGUGGGUGAUGAAGGUCUUCGGAUCGUAAAACUCUGUUAUUAGUGAAGAACAAAUGUGUAAGUAACUAUGCACGUCUUGACGGUACCUAAUCAGAAAGCCACGGCUAACUACGUG
RNAcentral lists this ribosomal RNA (497 nucleotides) under uncultured bacterium. RNAcentral describes it as "partial 16S ribosomal RNA". It matches the Rfam family "Bacterial small subunit ribosomal RNA", at positions 28 to 507 of the family's 1533-position model. The record is from RNAcentral.